This 64-nucleotide transfer RNA is filed under the name bovine gut metagenome. It matches the Rfam family "tRNA". From Rfam's summary of the family: Transfer RNA (tRNA) molecules are approximately 80 nucleotides in length. The record is from RNAcentral.
GGAAUGGUGUAGUGGUAGCACGAAUGGCUCUGAACCAUUUAGUAGGGGUUCGAAUCCCUUUUCC